CGUCGGUGAAGAAGGACGAGGGCAAUGGGAAGCUGGUGUUCUUCGACAGAGCCUCUUUCCAGAAGGUUGCUGGCACCCGCCCACCCGACUAGAAUCACCACUCUUGACGGGUCUGACCUAGAUCAUGCAUAGAGGAAACUGCACUAUCAGUGUGGUGUGGUGUGUCUGGCAUCCCAAGCUGAAUCAGAUUAUGGUGGGGACUGGAAAUGGACCGGCUAAAGGUCUACUAAGACCCUGUCAGGAGUCUCAGGGGAGCUGAGCUGUGUGUGGUGAAGAGCAAGAGGAAAGAGAUGCAAGCAGAGACACUGACGCAAGACUACAUCACACCCAGCCAGCCCAUCCUCUUCCCAUGUUCCGUGAGGCCCGGCAGCACAGCACUAAGAAACAGCUGGAGAAAGACAGAGUGGACCUUAUGAAGUCCCACAAGCUUGAGCCCCCCGUCACUGGACCAGGUCAGGUGGUCAUGUGGCAGCCCAUGGAGGUACUCUGUCCUCCUUCAUUGUGAAGAACAUUGCUCUGGACAAAACCGAUGACAGAAACCCUCGCCAGGCCAUCCUCCGACACGCCAAGAAGGCCUCCAAAAACCCCUACUGGGUCGCUCCUGCCUACACCAAGACCCAACCAGAUGCGAUCUUUCAGAGUCUGAUGUAGAGGCUGACGAUGAACCAGAUUGGAAGAAACGCAAGAUUUGAGCCGCAGCAACUCCUUUGUGUGUGUGUGCGUGUGUGCAUGCAAGUGUGUUUUUGUGCGAUUGUGUGCUAGUGUGCAUGGGAGUGUUUGUAUAUGAAUAUGUGUAUGUUUUUGUACUUUGCUGUACUUGAAUCAAAUGUAGUGUUUGUGAUCUCCUGAGAUACAGUAAUUAAAGGGAUAGUUUAUCCAAAUUCCA
Long non-coding RNA from Coregonus clupeaformis (lake whitefish), 886 nucleotides. RefSeq lists it as uncharacterized. The record is from RefSeq and is a predicted model, not a curated record. The transcript is spliced from 7 exons. Lineage: Eukaryota; Metazoa; Chordata; Actinopteri; Salmoniformes; Salmonidae.